Molecule: ribosomal RNA, 253 nt
Filed under: uncultured bacterium
Lineage: Bacteria
Description: partial 16S ribosomal RNA
Rfam family: Bacterial small subunit ribosomal RNA
Source: RNAcentral
UACGGAGGGUGCAAGCGUUAAUCGGAAUUACUGGGCGUAAAGCGUACGCAGGUGGCUGUGUCAGUCGGAUGUGAAAGCCCUGGGCUUAACCUGGGAACUGCAUUCGAUACUGCACGGCUAGAGGAUGGGAGAGGGAAGUGGAAUUCCCGGUGUAGCGGUGAAAUGCGUAGAUAUCGUGUGGAACGCCAAUGGUGAAGACAGGUUGCUGGGAGUGUGCUGACGCUGAGACACGAAAGCCAGGGGAGCAAACGGG